GAAGUCGGUUCCUUUCAUCUUUCUCCCAAAGCAUGGUGGUGAUGAGGAAAUUGAGUCCCAGGGAUCCAAUAUGUCCAGGAUCACCUAGCUGGCUUGAUGCUCUAGCACUUGAAUUAUGUCUCCAUCCCUGCUUCUUAUUGGUUAUUUUGGAGAUGAAGUCACAAGAACUUUUCUGCCUAGAGUGGCCUUUCACUGUAAUCCUCCAGAUCCCAGCCUCAUGAGUAAAUUACAGGCUCAUUCAAGUGGAAAAAAGCCCAAAGUUCGUAGAAGAGGAUCUUUUCCAUUGGAUCUUAGCAAGUAAGUUUUCAUUACAUGGAGAUGGCAUAGAGGAUCAAGAUUGUGGGGCUGGGUAUCAUGGCUAACACUGAAAUCCUGCACAUUCCUGGGCUAGCCAUAUGACUGGUUCCAGCUGCAUAUCUCUGGGCUGAAGCUUUGGACUUUAAAGAGUGAGAUUUUUCCACAUGUUAUGGUGAUAAUUCAAGUACUUGGAGUACAAAGUCUUGAGAGGUGUCAUUGUUGAAGCAAAACUGGCUACAAUAAAGAUGACUGAGAAGCAUUAUUUGUAGAUCUCGCUAUGGUGUCACUGUUAUUAUACCGAGGACAUCAGGAGAUACUGAGAAGUCUCUAAAGUGGCAAUGAAAUGAAGGGGCUUGGAAAAAGGAAGACUGAAGACAACUUGAGAACACGGUGCUUCAGGUAUAUGAGUUGCAUCAUCCUCUCCAUUGGGAUAUCGGAGCUGGCACGAACUAGUGUUCAGGCCUCUGUGCUCCAAGCCCCUAAGGAUACAGGCAUGGAUUGAAUAUGGAUGUAACCUUGCCUGCCAUCCUCUGCCUGAGAAGAGAAUUCUCCUCCAAGAAAGUAUUCUUUACCUCUAGAAAUGUGUGGUUACAGGAGUGGAGACUGGAAUAUAACACAUGUGGCUUCCUCUCCUGCGACUGUCUCACCUCACUAAAUUCAUCAGCAUCCAUUGAGA
This is a long non-coding RNA of Dipodomys spectabilis (banner-tailed kangaroo rat), 973 nucleotides long. RefSeq lists it as uncharacterized. The record is from RefSeq and is a predicted model, not a curated record. The transcript has 4 exons. NCBI's taxonomy places the organism in Eukaryota, Metazoa, Chordata, Mammalia, Rodentia, Heteromyidae.